UGAUCAAGCUACAAAGAGCGCAUCAUGGAUGCCUUGGUGCCAAUAGGCGAUGAAGGACGUGGUAAGCUGCGAUAAGCUACGGACAGCGGCAAACACGCUUUGACCCGUAGAUUUCCGAAUGGGGUAACCUGAGCGAGGUAAUACUUGCUCGAGUUCCUGUGAAUCCAUAGCAGGAACAUCGCGACACCCGGUGAAGUGAAACAUCUCAGUAACCGGAGGAAAAGAAAUCGAAAGAGAUUCCGUCAGUAGUGGCGAGCGAAAGCGGAACAGGCUAAACCGGUCGAUUUAUCGAUCGGGGUUGUAGGAGCCCGAUGUGGUAGUGCAAAGGUUAGGUGAAGCUUCUGGAAAGCUGCGCCAUAGAGGGUGAAAGACCCGUAACCGAAAACCCGAGCACGCCUAGGGAUUUCCUGAGUAAUACGAUGCACGUGAAACUUCGUAUGAAUCUGCGCCGACCACGGCGUAAGCCUAAAUACUAAUUGGCGACCGAUAGUGAACAAGUACCGCGAGGGAA
RNAcentral lists this ribosomal RNA (511 nucleotides) under Verrucomicrobiota bacterium. RNAcentral describes it as "bacterial LSU rRNA". It matches the Rfam family "Bacterial large subunit ribosomal RNA", at positions 1 to 511 of the family's 2925-position model. The record is from RNAcentral. Lineage: Bacteria; Pseudomonadati; Verrucomicrobiota.